AUUAAAUCUUUCAAUUUUGUAUACGAACAUCUUACUCUAGAAACAGAUUCAAGCAAAGACAUAUGAUCUACUAACUUCUUACUAUUAAAGAAACACAAAAGUUCGAGGGACACAAUGAUCACAAUAUCAAAUUGCUUGAAAAGGAUAUUCAAGAAAUAGAAAUAGAUUUGAGUUUUGGGGAAAUUUUUGCUAAAUAUAGUAUAAGAAAUAUAAAAGGAUGUUGGAUGCAAUGUUUGAAAAAUUGGAAUUUUAUAGAGGACAUUACUAUAAAGUGUAAAUUACCUUCUUCUUUUUUUUAACUGGCGGAAUUAGCAACUAGUCGGGCAUGUGCCACGUGGUCAUGUUAUCUGACCACUACCACUAUAACCUUCAUACAUGCCAACGUGGGCAUUCACACGACACACAAGGCUAGUCGAGGGUAUUGAACAGGUGACUUCACAUAACAGAGUGCCUUAAUAGUACACUCCAUCACUGACUGUUCUACACCCCGGGGGAUAAAGUGUAAAUUACCUUCUUUAGGCCCUGAAAAAAACUUUUUUCUAGUGGAACAAGUGAUGAAGCAAUUUGAAGAGUCCAUGGUUCAACUUAAAGAAUAAGUUCAAACAAUUCAAAGUGUUGAGAAGGAACACUUAUAAAAAUGCCUUGUUGAAGAAACUAAGAAAAUGGACUUCUUGGAAUUUUUCUUUAUUAAGAUUAAGAAAUAUACCAAAAGUUUAGAAUGUGAAGCAUUAACUUUGGGGGCCCCAAUAAAACAUGCCUUUCAUCAUAUUGAAAUUUGUCUAAACAUUUUUGAGAAUUUGGAGGAAUAUAAAGAAAAGGUCCCAUAUAAUCAAGAAGAAGACCUUGAUUAGAAUAGGGUUAAGGGUUAGGAAAGUUAGUUUAAUUGUUUUGUAAAGGCUAUUUAAGAAAGGAUGAAAUUUAGAGAAGGGGAUUUGUUGGAUUUUGAACUCCAAAAAACAAAUGUAGAAAACUAAUCUUUUAUGGAUUGAAGGAUGACAAUCAAUAGGUCAAUUUUGUUGAUUAAGUAUUGUUCUGGUUGAUUAUUUCUUCAGAUUUUUUCUACAUUGUGUCAAUAUGGAACAAUUGUAAGAAGUUUCAUAGUUCAUAUUAUUUUUCUGUCAUGAAGCAAAUUUCCUACAAUUUCUUUCAUUUUUAACAUAUUUAUAAUCAUUUUUAAAGAAAAACUUAGUUAAAUUAUUUUUUUGUACCUCACUUAAAUGGAAUCAUUUCUAUGAUUAUAGAGCAGUCAUAAAUUCUAUUUCCAACAUAUUAGCAAGCUAUCUUGAUUUAUAUAUAAUCCAAUGCCCUGAAAACCUAAGGGUUCCUCUGCAAGGUUCGCCCACGGAGGGUGAGUUGGGCCCUAAGAUUAGGCUGAAAGGCGCAGUCGAUGGACAAUGGGUGAAUAUUCAUGUACUACCCCUUGUUGGUCCUAAGGGACGGAAGAGGAUAGGUUAGCCGAAAGAUGGUUAUCGGUUCAAGGACGCAAGGUGACCCUGUUUUUUUCAGGGUAAGAAGGGGUAGAUAAAAUGCCUCGAGCCAAUUUAUGAGUACCAAGCGCUACAGUGUUGAAGUAACCCAUGCCAAACUCCCAUGAAAAUAUCGAAUGACCUUUAACAAACAGGUACCUGCACCUAAAACCGACACAGGUAGGUAGGUAGAGAAUACCUAGGGGUGUGAGACAACUCUCUCUAAGGAACUCGGUAAAAUAGCCCCAUAAAUUCAGGAGAAGGGGUGCCUCCUCAUGAGGUCGCAGUGACCAGGCUCGGGUGACUGUUUACCAAAAACACAGGUCUCUGCAAAUUUGUAAGACCAUGUAUGGGGGCUGAUGUAUGCCCAAUGCUGAAAGGUUAAGGAAGUUGGUGACCUGAUGAUGGGGAAUCCAAUGAUCGAAUCCCCAAUGAAUGGCAGUUGUAACUAUAACGGUCCUAAGGUAGUGAAAUUAUUUGUCGAGUAAGUUUCGACCCACACGAAAGGUGUAACAAUAUGGGCAUUGUCUCGAAGAGACGCUUGGUGAAGUGGACAUGUUUAUGAAGAUGCAGACUACCUACACCUGGAUAGAAAGACCCUAUGAAGAUUUAUUGUUCCCUGUGAUUGUAUUUGGGUUCUUCUUACACAUCUUAGGUGGAAGGCGAAGAAGGCCCCCUUCUAGGGGGGCCUGAUCCACUAGUGAGAUACCACUCUGGAAGAGCUAGAAUUCUAACCUUGUAUCAAGACCUAGAGGCCAAGGGACAGUCUCAGGUAGACAAUUUAUAUGGGGCAUAGGCCUCCCAAAAGGUAACGGAUGUGUGCAAAGGUUUCCUCAUGCCAAACGGAAAUUGUCCCUUGAGUGCAAAGGAAGAAGGGAUAUUAACUGCAAGACCCACCUGUCGAGCAGGAAUAAAAUUAAGCCUUAGUGAUCCGAUGUUUCCAAGUGGAAGGUUCAUCACUCAACAGAUAAAAGUUACUAUAGGGAUAAUAGGUUGAUCUUCCCCAAGAGUUCACAUCGACAAAAAGGUUUUCCACCUCGAUGUCGGCUCUUCGCCACUUGGGGAGGUAGUACGUUCCAAGGGUUGGGUUGUUCUCCCAUUAAAGUGGUACGUGAGUUGGGUUUAGAAUUUUGUGAGAUCGUUCAUUCCAUAUCUGGUGCGGGCGUUAGAGAAUUGAGAGGACCUUUCCCUAGUACGAGAGGAUCGGGAAGGACACACCUCUGGUGUACUAGUUAUCGUGCCCAUUGUAGAUGUUGGGUAGCCAGGUGCAGAGCAUAUAAAUAUUGAAAUCAUAUAAGUAGGAAUCCCACCCCAAGAUGAGUUCUCUCCUAUUCUUACUUCCCCGAGAGCCCUACUCAUGAACACGGCUGGGACAACGACAGUUUCUCUGUUCUUGCAAGGGAUGGAGCGACAAAAGUAUUGAGAAUCCAAGAUAAGAUCAUGGAGAGACGAGAUGUCUAUCAUUACAAUAGGUGUCAAGUGGAAGUGCAGUGAUGUAUGCAGUUGAGGCAUCCUAACAGAUCGAGAGAUUUUAAC
This 3002-nucleotide ribosomal RNA is filed under the name Picea glauca (white spruce). RNAcentral's name for it is "bacterial LSU rRNA". The stretch from base 1189 to 3002 matches the Rfam family "Bacterial large subunit ribosomal RNA". Lineage: Eukaryota; Viridiplantae; Streptophyta; Pinopsida; Pinales; Pinaceae. The record is from RNAcentral.